This 498-nucleotide ribosomal RNA is filed under the name uncultured bacterium. RNAcentral's name for it is "partial 16S ribosomal RNA". It matches the Rfam family "Bacterial small subunit ribosomal RNA", at positions 27 to 507 of the family's 1533-position model. The record is from RNAcentral.
GGAUGAACGCUGGCGGCGUGCCUAAUACAUGCAAGUCGAGCGAACGGACGAGAAGCUUGCUUCUCUGAUGUUAGCGGCGGACGGGUGAGUAACACGUGGAUAACCUACCUAUAAGACUGGGAUAACUUCGGGAAACCGGAGCUAAUACCGGAUAAUAUUUUGAACCGCAUGGUUCAAAAGUGAAAGACGGUCUUGCUGUCACUUAUAGAUGGAUCCGGGCUGCAUUAGCUAGUUGGUAAGGUAAAGGCUUACCAAGGCAACGAUGCAUAGCCGACCUGAGAGGGUGAUCGGCGACACUGGAACUGAGACACGGUCCAGACUCCUACGGGAGGCAGCAGUAGGGAAUCUUCCGCAAUGGGCGAAAGCCUGACGGAGCAACGCCGCGUGAGUGAUGAAGGUCUUCGGAUCGUAAAACUCUGUUAUUAGGGAAGAACAUAUGUGUAAGUAACUGUGCACAUCUUGACGGUACCUAAUCAGAAAGCCACGGCUAACUACGUG